This 433-nucleotide ribosomal RNA is filed under the name uncultured bacterium. RNAcentral describes it as "partial 16S ribosomal RNA". It matches the Rfam family "Bacterial small subunit ribosomal RNA", at positions 29 to 507 of the family's 1533-position model. The record is from RNAcentral.
AACGAACGCUGGCGGCAUGCCUAACACAUGCAAGUCGAACGAGACCUUCGGGUCUAGUGGCGCACGGGUGCGUAACGCGUGGGAACCUGCCCUUAGGUUAGGAAUAACUCCCCGAAAGGGGUGCUAAUACCGGAUAAUGUCUUCGGACCAAAGAUUUUUCGCGUUUGGAUGGGCCCGCGUUGGAUUAGCUAGUUGGUAGGGUAAAAGCCUACCAAGGCGACGAUCCAUAGCUGGUCUGAGAGGAUGACCAGCCACACUGGGACUGAGACACGGCCCAGACUGCUACGGAAGGCAGCAGAGGGGAAUAUUGGACGAUGAGCGAAAGCCUGAUCCAGCAAUGCCGCGUGAGUGAGGAAGGCCUUAGUGUUGUAAAGCUCUUUUACCCGGGAUGAUAAUGACAGUACCGGGAGAAUAAGCUCCGGCUAACUCCGUG